Long non-coding RNA from Homo sapiens (human), 1079 nucleotides. Lineage: Eukaryota; Metazoa; Chordata; Mammalia; Primates; Hominidae. The record is from Ensembl.
GAAGAAGGUGACAAGACUAGAUCUCAUUCUCUGAAAAGCGUUUUCUGGCUUCUUCUAUUGACUAGACCAUAUAUGAGGCCACUUCCUAGAGUCUAUUGCACCAUCGAUGCUGAAUUUCUCUGAUUUGGACCUCAGCUCUGCCAAUUUCAACCUGGGAGGCAGCACCUUGGCCAGCAGACUUAGAAUUCUGGUGCUAUUGACCAGGCUCCACAUGAAGACUGGACAGCAGGAAAAAGCUAUCACAGCUGAGGAAAGCUGCAUGUUGAACAGAUGACUUAAACUCCUAUUUUCUGAUUCCAAGCUCACCAAAACAACUUUCUGAUUAUAAUUUAGCUUCUCUACAAAAAGGAAAAGUACAAGUGCAAGUCAUGCUGACAGGAGAGCUCAGGUCUUCUGAGAUUUUAUUUCUUAUUCUACAUUAGUAAACUGACAUUAUGGUUUUCUACAUCAGUGUCUUGUAGCUUGACUAAUGCUGGAUCAAUGCCUGGGAGGUAAAGCCACUCUUGAUGUGCUGGUCAAAACUGCUGAUCAGGAUUCUGACUCUGCAAGGUUGCUGUCCAGGCUGAAACCAUGAAGAAGUCAUCAUGGUAAGGUGACCCAGUUGCCCUUUCCUAGUUGACACUUGCCCCUACAUGCCCCAGUUGCCCUUUCCUAGUUGAAACUUCAGUUAUCUCUGUGUGUAUCUUCAUUCAAACUGCAGGCCUCUGUGCAGUUAUAGCAGUGAACAGAGCAGAAACUAUCCCAGAGGAGGCACUUGCCUUAGUGCAGCGUCAUUAAAAAAAGGUGUGGAAGUGGAUAUUGAGAGAUGCUGUCAUUAAAUAACACCUUCGCCACUAAUUAAUUACAUGACUUUAGAAAAGUCACAACCUCCUCAAGCCUAAAAACCCACAUCUAUAAAAUGGGAAUAAUGUUGCCAAAUGAAUCCCUUCAACGUUUGUUCCCUUUCAAGGAAGCUGCCACAUAAAAAUGUAUGAAUCGUGGGCAACUGAAAUUCUCUUUUUCUCCAAGGCAAACACACAAAACUGUAUCUCAAAACUGCAGGAUAUCAGGCCGGGAGACAUGGCUCACACCUGUAAUCC